GUUUGGGCUUGGACAUGUGUGGGGUGGAACUAAAUCUCCUUUAACCUGGGAAUCUGUCAAUCAGCUGAUCUAGAGUGAUUCAUUCUGGGCCUGGCCCUCCGCUGGGCUGGGUGUGUGAUAGCAGGCUGGCUGACCUGAUUCAGCCGGAAAUGCCUAGUAAGCAUUACUGCCUUUGCUAUCCUCUUCCCCUCAGGUGCUGGUCCCCUUGGGCUUGCCAGAAACACAGGUAUUUCUGGACCAAUAGGGAGCCAGUGGUUCUUGGCUCUGUGAGAGCACUGUGAGGGAUGAGCUUUCUCAGGAUUUGAAGUUGGCAGAGGGUGCCACCCUCUUUUCCCACCCUUCUUCCCUCUGUCUGAUCGUGUUAUAUUUUCCCACAGGGCAGCACUUCCUUUUCUCCUAUCCUGUGAUUCUCCUGAUCACGACUCAGCAUCCAUUUGGCCGAAGCUGAUUUCCAAAAGCAGGAAUCUGUGGAGUUGGACUGAGGGGAAUGAACCGUGAGGGAGCUCCCGGGAAGAGUCCGGAGGAGAUGUACAUUCAGCAGAAAGUUCGGGUCUUGCUCAUGCUGAGGAAGAUGGGAUCAAAUCUGACAGCCAGUGAGGAAGAAUUCCUGCGGACGUAUGCAGGGGUAGUGAGCAGCCAGCUGAGCCAGCUCCCAUCACACUCCAUCGACCAGGACUGAGAACAAGCCCCGACUGGCCUGUCAGCACUCAGCAGAGAGCCUCAGCCCAUGAGGAGACGUGCAUAUAGAUGAAUGUUCCCUUUCCCGAGUGAGAACUGGAUGUAGCACCAGGCCAUUCCCGAGCCCUCUCCCAACCAUUUAGGACACUCGAUGCAGCGACUGCUGCGGCCCUGUUUAUCUGACAAGGCUUUGGACUUUGUCUCUGUGGCCUCGGCUUUCAAGUCUGGUGCUUGGCCACGCAAUGUCCUGUGGAGCUGGGGACCAGGUAGCUUUUCUGGCCUGGCCUGGGGGACUUCUUUCAGAGGGCUGGAAGGAGCAGCCUCUUUAACGCUGAGGCUGACAGACUUCAAGUUCCUGCACGUCUUCAUGGUUUGGGGAGAACUGGGACUCAGCUUUGCAAGCAAGUAAAGUGCUGACAGGCUUCCUUGUUUCAGGGUCUGAUUCUCUCCUGUCCUCCUCACUCCCUCCUCAGGGCCUGCCCUCCCUGGACGUAGUUUGCCCGCAGCCCAUUGAAUUGGCCAGCCUCCAGAUUCUCUCCUCUUUGCGGGGCUUAGUGGAAUUAAUAAAGUAUAGAGA
This 1255-nucleotide long non-coding RNA is filed under the name Sarcophilus harrisii (Tasmanian devil). RNAcentral describes it as "lncRNA (ENSSHAG00000032095.1)". The record is from RNAcentral. Lineage: Eukaryota; Metazoa; Chordata; Mammalia; Dasyuromorphia; Dasyuridae.